RNAcentral lists this transfer RNA (76 nucleotides) under Gammaproteobacteria bacterium. RNAcentral's name for it is "tRNA-Lys". It matches the Rfam family "tRNA". Rfam says of the family: Transfer RNA (tRNA) molecules are approximately 80 nucleotides in length. Their secondary structure includes four short double-helical elements and three loops (D, anti-codon, and T loops). The record is from RNAcentral. Lineage: Bacteria; Pseudomonadati; Pseudomonadota; Gammaproteobacteria.
GGGUCGUUAGCUCAGUCGGCAGAGCACCGGGCUUUUAACCCGUGCGUCCUGGGUUCGAUUCCCAGACGACCCACCA